AUUGAACGCUGGCGGCAGGCCUAACACAUGCAAGUCGAAUGGUAACAGGAAACAGCUUGCUGUUUCGCUGACGAGUGGCGGACGGGUGAGUAAUGUCUGGGAAACUGCCUGUUGGAGGGGGAUAACUACUGGAAACGGUAGCUAAUACCGCAUAACGUCGCAAGACCAAAGAGGAGGAACUUCGGGCCUCUUGCCAUCAGAUGUGCCCAGAUGGUAUUAGCUAGUAGGUGGGGUAACGGCUCACCUUGGCGACGAUCCCUAGCUGGUCUGAGAGGAUGACCAGCGUAGCUGGAUUGAGAGAGCGUACCAGACUACUACGGCAGGGACAAGUGGGAAAUAUCGACGAAUGGGCGCAAGCGGGAUGCAGCCAUGCUGCGUGUAUGAAGAAGGCAUUCGGGUUGUAAAGUACUUUCAGCGGGGAGGAAGGGAGUAAAGUUAAUACCUGUGCUCAUUGACGUUACCAGCAGAAGAAGCACCGGCUAACUCCGUG
RNAcentral lists this ribosomal RNA (490 nucleotides) under uncultured bacterium. Its description in RNAcentral is "partial 16S ribosomal RNA". It matches the Rfam family "Bacterial small subunit ribosomal RNA", at positions 30 to 507 of the family's 1533-position model. The record is from RNAcentral.